GGAUAACUACCCUUUAGGACUGGGAUAACCCUGGGAAACUGGGGCUAAUACCGGAUAGGCAAUUUUUCCUGUAAUGGUUCUUUGUUUAAAUGUUUUUUCGCCUAAGGAUGGGUCUGCGGCCGAUUAGGUAGUUGGUUAGGUAAUGGCUUACCAAGCCGUUGAUCGGUACGGGUUGUGAGAGCAAGAGCCCGGAGAUGGAACCUGAGACAAGGUUCCAGGCCCUACGGGGCGCAGCAGGCGCGAAACCUCCACAAUGUGAGAAAUCGCGAUGGGGGGAUCCCAAGUGCCAUUCUUAACGGGAUGGCUUUUCAUUAGUGUAAAAAGCUUUUGGAAUAAGAGCUGGGCAAGACCGGUGCCAGCCGCCGCGGUAACACCGGCAGCUCUAGUGGUAGCAACUUUUAUUGGGCCUAAAGCGUCCGUAGCCGGUUUAAUAAGUCUCUGGUGAAAUCCUGUAGCUUAACUGUGGGAAUUGCUGGAGAUACUAUUAGACUUGAGACCGGGAGAGGUUAGAGGUACUCCCAGGGUAGAGGUGAAAUUCUGUAAUCCUGGGAGGACCGCCUGUUGCGAAGGCGUCUAACUGGAACGGUUCUGACGGUGAGGGACGAAAGUUAGGGGCGCGAACCGGAUUAGAUACCCGGGUAGUCCUAACUGUAAACGAUGCGGACUUGGUGUUGGGGUGGCUUUGAGCUGUUCCAGUGCCGAAGGGAAGCUGUUAAGUCCGCCGCCUGGGAAGUACGGUCGCAAGACUGAAACUUA
Molecule: ribosomal RNA, 756 nt
Filed under: uncultured archaeon
Lineage: Archaea
Description: bacterial SSU rRNA
Rfam family: Archaeal small subunit ribosomal RNA
Source: RNAcentral